This 253-nucleotide ribosomal RNA is filed under the name uncultured bacterium. RNAcentral describes it as "partial 16S ribosomal RNA". It matches the Rfam family "Bacterial small subunit ribosomal RNA", at positions 524 to 776 of the family's 1533-position model. The record is from RNAcentral.
GACAGAGGGUGCAAACGUUGCUCGGAAUCACUGGGCGUAAAGGGCGUGUAGGCGGGAGGGAAAGUCAGAUGUGAAAUCCCCAGGCUCAACCUGGGAACUGCAUUUGAAACUCCCCUUCUUGAGUACCGGAGAGGAAAGCGGAAUUCCUGGUGUAGAGGUGAAAUUCGUAGAUAUCAGGAGGAACACCAGCGGCGAAGGCGGCUUUCUGGACGGUAACUGACGCUGAGACGCGAAAGCGUGGGGAGCAAACAGG